GUGCCAGCAGCCGCGGUAAUACGGAGGAUCCGAGCGUUAUCCGGAUUUAUUGGGUUUAAAGGGUGCGCAGGCGGCUUUAUAAGUCAGCGGUAAAAUCGUGGUGCUCAACGCCAUCAUGCCGUUGAUACUGUAGAGCUUGAUUGCGGUUGAGGUAGGCGGAAUUCGUCGUGUAGCGGUGAAAUGCAUAGAUAUGACGAAGAACACCGAUUGCGUAGGCAGCUUACCAAGCCGUAAAUGACGCUCAGGCACGAAAGUGCGGGGAUCGAACAGGAUUAGAUACCCUGGUAGUCCGCACAGUAAACGAUGAAUACUUGCUUUUGGCGAUACAGUGUCAGAGGCAAAGCGAAAGCGAUAAGUAUUCCACCUGGGGAGUACGCCGGCAACGGUGAAACUCAAAGGAAUUGACGGGGGCCCGCACAAGCGGAGGAACAUGUGGUUUAAUUCGAUGCUACGCGAGGAACCUUACCCGGGCUUGAAAGUUAUCGACGGACCUUGAAAGAGGUCUUCCCUUCGGGGCGAGAAACUAGGUGCUGCAUGGUUGUCGUCAGCUCGUGCCGUGAGGUGUCGGCUUAAGUGCCAUAACGAGCGCAACCCUUUUCUCCAGUUACCAUCAUUUAGUUGGGGACUCUGGAGGCACUGCCAUCGUAAGAUGUGAGGAAGGAUGGGAUGACGUCAAAUCAGCACGGCCCUUACGUCCGGGGCGACACACGUGUUACAAUGGGCAGGACAGAAUGGAUCGAAGCGGCGACGCGGAGGGAAUCACGAAACCUGCUCCCAGUUCGGAUUGGAGUCUGCAACCCGACUCCAUGAAGCUGGAUUCGCUAGUAAUCGCGCAUCAGCCAUGGCGCGGUGAAUACGUUCCCGGGCCUUGUACACACCGCCCGU
This 885-nucleotide ribosomal RNA is filed under the name uncultured rumen bacterium. RNAcentral's name for it is "bacterial SSU rRNA". It matches the Rfam family "Bacterial small subunit ribosomal RNA", at positions 505 to 1397 of the family's 1533-position model. The record is from RNAcentral.